AGCACUGACUUACAGGCAGAGCUUCAGUGAUGUUCCUACCUGUGGCUAGCUGGUAAAUAACACCUGUCCUUUCCAUCAAGGUGGACAAUGAGUUGAGAUCUGCUGGGGGAAACUGGCCGAUGUUCAUCCCUUUUGUUUAUAGUCACUUGAACCGUGGCAUUAGGACAAGCUUCUGGUUUGGAUAUUUAUUUGGACUUUAUACCACUUAAAGGAAUACAAACUUGAACGUAACACCAACAAAGACACUUACGCUGUUCCAGCAAAUACGAGGAGUAGCGGGCAGGGAGUCCAGCACGCCACAGUUCUCAAAUAUUGUUUUCUUCAUGGUGCUGAUGAGGAAGUGACUGCAGCUCUGCCUCCAAUAUGAGUCAGCAUGGAGCCUCUGCUGGUGGCCAUGGACAUUCAAGGCCAGUGGAUGAGAGGACACACUCCCCUGCACCCAGCUGUGUGUCCAUGAAGAGUGAUCGCUCAAAGG
Molecule: long non-coding RNA, 475 nt
Organism: Sardina pilchardus (European sardine)
Lineage: Eukaryota; Metazoa; Chordata; Actinopteri; Clupeiformes; Clupeidae
Exons: 3
Source: RefSeq, a predicted model, not a curated record